Molecule: unclassified non-coding RNA, 336 nt
Filed under: soil metagenome
Description: partial contains 5.8S ribosomal RNA, internal transcribed spacer 2, and large subunit ribosomal RNA
Rfam family: 5.8S ribosomal RNA (bases 1-120)
Source: RNAcentral
GAUGAAGAACGCAGCGAAAUGCGAUAAGUAAUGUGAAUUGCAGAAUUCAGUGAAUCAUCGAAUCUUUGAACGCACAUUGCGCCCGCCAGUAUUCUGGCGGGCAUGCCUGUUCGAGCGUCAUUUCAACCAUCAAGCCCCCGGCUUGUGUUGGGGACCUGCGGCUGCCGCAGGCCCUGAAAAGCAGUGGCGGGCUCGCUGUCACACCGAGCGUAGUAGCAUACAUCUCGCUCUGGGCGUGCUGCGGGUUCCGGCCGUUACACCACCUUCAUAACCCAAGGUUGACCUCGGAUCAGGUAGGAAGACCCGCUGAACUUAAGCAUAUCAAUAAGCGGAGGA